UGGGGAAUAUUGGACAAUGGGCGAAAGCCUGAUCCAGCCAUGCCGUGUGUGUGAAGAAGGUCUUCGGAUUGUAAAGCACUUUAAGUUGGGAGGAAGGGCAGUAAGCGAAUACCUUGCUGUUUUGACGUUACCGACAGAAUAAGCACCGGCUAACUCUGUGCCAGCAGCCGCGGUAAUACAGAGGGUGCAAGCGUUAAUCGGAAUUACUGGGCGUAAAGCGCGCGUAGGUGGUUCGUUAAGUUGAAUGUGAAAGCCCCGGGCUCAACCUGGGAACUGCAUCCAAAACUGGCGAGCUAGAGUAGGGCAGAGGGUGGUGGAAUUUCCUGUGUAGCGGUGAAAUGCGUAGAUAUAGGAAGGAACACCAGUGGCGAAGGCGACCACCUGGGCUCAUACUGACACUGAGGUGCGAAAGCGUGGGGAGCAAACAGG
RNAcentral lists this ribosomal RNA (429 nucleotides) under Pseudomonadota bacterium. Its description in RNAcentral is "Proteobacteria bacterium partial 16S ribosomal RNA". It matches the Rfam family "Bacterial small subunit ribosomal RNA", at positions 355 to 776 of the family's 1533-position model. The record is from RNAcentral. Lineage: Bacteria; Pseudomonadati; Pseudomonadota.